RNAcentral lists this transfer RNA (71 nucleotides) under Tigriopus californicus. RNAcentral describes it as "tRNA-Ala for anticodon UGC". It matches the Rfam family "tRNA". From Rfam's summary of the family: Transfer RNA (tRNA) molecules are approximately 80 nucleotides in length. Their secondary structure includes four short double-helical elements and three loops (D, anti-codon, and T loops). Further hydrogen bonds mediate the characteristic L-shaped molecular structure. tRNAs have two regions of fundamental functional importance: the anti-codon, which is responsible for specific mRNA codon recognition, and the 3' end, to which the tRNAs corresponding amino acid is attached (by aminoacyl-tRNA synthetases). tRNAs cope with the degeneracy of the genetic code in two manners: having more than one tRNA (with a specific anti-codon) for a particular amino acid; and 'wobble' base-pairing, i.e. permitting non-standard base-pairing at the 3rd anti-codon position. The record is from Rfam by way of RNAcentral. Lineage: Eukaryota; Metazoa; Arthropoda; Copepoda; Harpacticoida; Harpacticidae.
GGGGAUGUAGCGCAGUGGUAGCGCGUUCGCUUUGCAUGUGAAAGGCCCCGGGUUCAAUCCCGGCAUCUCCA